Pteronotus mesoamericanus is the source of this 150-nucleotide small nucleolar RNA. RefSeq annotates it as small nucleolar RNA SNORA57. The transcript has a single exon. The record is from RefSeq and is a predicted model, not a curated record. Lineage: Eukaryota; Metazoa; Chordata; Mammalia; Chiroptera; Mormoopidae.
CCUUCUUUUCCUGGGGGAGGCUGGGCAUGAGGUACCGGUACCAGGAAUGUACAGAGGCAGAAAGAAAGGGCUCCUGAGCCUCUCAGUAUCAUGUCUUUGGUGCUAAUGGUUUCUAGUUCACCAGUUCUAUUCCCAAACACUCAAAGAAAA